RNAcentral lists this ribosomal RNA (429 nucleotides) under Bacteroidota bacterium. RNAcentral's name for it is "Bacteroidetes bacterium partial 16S ribosomal RNA". It matches the Rfam family "Bacterial small subunit ribosomal RNA", at positions 355 to 776 of the family's 1533-position model. Lineage: Bacteria; Pseudomonadati; Bacteroidota. The record is from RNAcentral.
UAGGGAAUCUUCCGCAAUGGACGCAAGUCUGACGGAGCAACGCCGCGUGAGUGAAGAAGGAUUUCGGUUCGUAAAACUCUGUUGUUAGAGAAGAACAGCGCAUAGAGUAACUGUUAUGCGUGUGACGGUAUCUAACCAGAAAGCCACGGCUAACUACGUGCCAGCAGCCGCGGUAAUACGUAGGUGGCAAGCGUUGUCCGGAUUUAUUGGGCGUAAAGCGAGCGCAGGCGGUCAAUUAAGUCUGAUGUGAAAGCCCACGGCUCAACCGUGGAGGGUCAUUGGAAACUGGAAAACUUGAGUGCAGAAGAGGAAAGUGGAAUUCCAUGUGUAGCGGUGAAAUGCGCAGAGAUAUGGAGGAACACCAGUGGCGAAGGCGACUUUCUGGUCUGUAACUGACGCUGAUGUGCGAAAGCGUGGGUAGCAAACAGG